GCAGGUGUGUUCCAGAGAACAAGUCUUCAAACAUAUUUGCUAUAUUGACACUUAGCUGUCAGGGGACUCAGGCUUAUGAGGAGGUAUUGUUACACGAAACAGUGUCUAGUGAAGACGACAAGAAAGAGGGGAAAGGAUCGGAAAAAGAAGCUGAAAUACUAUAGAAAACCAUGAGAUCGAUUCGAUCUUUUGCUAAUGAUGAUCGCCAUGUUAUGGUGAAACAUUCAACAAUCUAUCCAUCUCCGGAGGAACUUGAAGCUGUUCAGAAUAUGGUAUCUACUGUUGAAUGUGCUCUUAAACAUGUCUCGGAUUGGUUGGAUGAAACAAAUAAAGGCACAAAAACAGAGGGUGAGACAGAAGUGAAGAAAGAUGAGGCCGGAGAAAACUAUUCCAAGGAUCAAGGUGGUCGGACAUUGUGUGGUGUAAUGAGGAUUGGCCUGGUUGCAAAAGGCUUGCUGAUCAAAGAUGAUAUGGACUUGGAGCUGGUUUUAAUGUGCAAAGACAAACCCACAGAGACCCUGUUAAAUACAGUCAAAGAUAAUCUUCCUAUUCAGAUUCAGAAACUCACAGAAGAGAAAUAUCAAGUGGAACAAUGUGUAAAUGAGGCAUCUAUUAUAAUUCGGAAUACAAAAGAGCCCACUCUAACUUUGAAGGUGAUACUUACCUCACCUCUAAUUAGGGACGAAUUGGAGAAGAAGGAUGGAGAAAAUGUUUCGAUGAAAGAUCCUCCGGACUUAUUGGACAGGCAGAAAUGCCUGAACGCCUUGGCGUCUCUUCGACAUGCCAAAUGGUUUCAGGCAAGGGCAAAUGGAUUAAAAUCAUGUGUAAUUGUCCUCCGCAUUCUGCGUGAUUUGUGCAACAGAGUCCCCACAUGGGCACCAUUGAAAGGAUGGCCACUAGAACUUAUAUGUGAAAAGUCUAUAGGUACUUGUAAUAGACCUUUGGGCGCUGGGGAGGCCUUGAGACGAGUAAUGGAGUGUUUGGCAUCUGGAAUACUACUUCCUGGAGGUCCUGGUCUUCAUGAUCCUUGUGAGAGAGACCCAACAGAUGCUCUGAGCUAUAUGACCAUCCAGCAAAAAGAAGAUAUUACCCACAGUGCACAGCAUGCACUCAGACUAUCAGCCUUUGGCCAGAUUUAUAAAGUGCUGGAGAUGGACCCCCUUCCAUCUAGUAAGCCUUUUCAGAAGUAUUCCUGGUCAGUUACUGAUAAAGAAGGUGCUGGGUCUUCAGCUCUAAAGAGGCCAUUUGAAGAUGGAUUAGGAGAUGAUAAAGACCCCAAUAAGAAGAUGAAGCGAAACUUAAGGAAAAUUCUGGAUAGUAAAGCAAUAGACCUUAUGAAUGCACUAAUGAGGCUAAAUCAGAUCAGGCCUGGGCUUCAGUAUAAGCUCUUAUCUCAGUCUGGCCCCGUUCAUGCCCCAGUCUUCACAAUGUCUGUAGAUGUGGAUGGCACAACAUAUGAAGCCUCAGGACCAUCCAAGAAAACAGCAAAACUUCACGUAGCAGUGAAGGUAUUACAGGCAAUGGGAUAUCCAACAGGCUUUGAUGCAGAUAUUGAAUGUAUGAGUUCCGAUGAAAAAUCAGAUAAUGAAAGUAAAAAUGAAACAGUGUCUUCAAACUCAAGCAAUAAUACUGGAAAUUCUACAACUGAAACCUCCAGUACCUUAGAGGUAAGAACUCAGGGCCCUAUUCUUACAGCAAGUGGCAAAAACCCUGUAAUGGAGCUCAAUGAAAAAAGAAGAGGUCUCAAGUAUGAACUCAUCUCAGAAACAGGUGGAAGCCAUGACAAGCGCUUUGUAAUGGAGGUAGAAGUAGAUGGACAGAAAUUCAGAGGCGCAGGUCCAAAUAAGAAAGUGGCCAAGGCGAGUGCAGCUUUAGCUGCCUUGGAGAAGCUGUUUUCUGGACCUAAUGCAGCAAAUAACAAGAAAAAGAAGAUUAUCCCUCAGGCAAAGGGUGUUGUGAAUACAGCUGUGUCUGCAGCAGUCCAAGCUGUUCGGGGCAGAGGAAGAGGAACUCUAACAAGGGGAGCUUUUGUUGGGGCGACAGCUGCUCCUGGCUACAUAGCUCCAGGGUAUGGAACACCAUAUGGUUACAGCACAGCUGCCCCUGCCUAUGGUGGUUUUUUCAUUGACAGCCCCUAUUGCCAGCCUCUGAGCGUCGCACCAUUUAUUAUUCACUUGGGCCCUCAAGAUUUCUUCUCUGACUUCUAGAACCAUCAGGUUGUCUGGCUUGAAAUGGCAAUUUCUAUGUCUUGGUCUUAAGAGUAAUGUGACACCCUGAGGCUAUCCAGCUUUCAGAUACACCACUCUGACACCUUCUUUUUGAAAGCAAUGACUGAUCAUUUUAAAGAAGAGCAAUACUUUGUUCAAAGCCACGGUGUCUCUUUUAAAACUUUUCCUUUAGAAACCUAGCAAUAUCUGUACUUAACCCCUUUUAGCAUAGUUUCUUGUCAGGGAGUUUACAGAUCAAUGUAGAGCUUAGAAUUAGUAUGUGAGCUGUGCUGUGUUCUGACAGUUUUUACACUUUUUAGCACAUAAAUAGUUACAUUCCUGACUGCGUCAGUUAGCGCUAUUAUAAUUUCUCAAGAGAUAGGGGUCCUCCUUGAAGCCAUAUCCUCUGCAUGGGGACUGGCGCCUAGCCAGGGAUGUGGCUUGCAGCCUGUGUUUCUUCAGGCAGCAGGAGUACCCCAUCUCUUGUGCAAGGUAAUUGGUCCAGUAGAUUUCCAACAUACCUCAUGCUGACUAGAUGAAGUGCAUGGGUGGUGAAGCAAGGAGCUGAGUUUACAUAGUUCCUGAAGUGUUUGUAGUCUCUCUCAAAUUGUUAGCCUGGGGAACCAACCACGUUAGAUUUUGCUGGUAUUGGCAUUUUCUUUUCUUUUUUUUAAUUUUGGGUGAAUGUUUGAAAAUCGUGAAUCAGCCACCGUUAUUAAUUGAAGAGCUGGGAAUACCUCGUUAAUGUAUUUUUAAAACUGGUGUUGGACCCUCUGUGUAUUUCAGGUUAAUACUUUUAAGCAGUUUUCAGCACGUUUAUCUCACUUUAUUCUCGUUCUCCUCGGACCUUCGUAGCCAUAUCACUUGUAUAAAAUAGGCUGAGAUAUAGUGACUGUAAGCUGUGAUCUCAGUAUACAAAGAAUCUGUAUGUACGUUGAAUGUGGCUUUGGCAUCUUUAAAAGGUUGUACAAGGCAUAGCUGACUAGUACUGAGUACAAUCCAGUCCUGCUGAAACAGCCCAGUGCCUAUCAGGUGCCAGGUCCUCUUCUGGGUACGAGUGAACAGAGGCUGUGACCAGUGGAAGCAUUUUAAUUCGGAGAGUUUCCUUGUUGUUGGAAUUGGGCCUAUUACAAAUAUCCUACUUUGAGAAACAAAUAUUUUGUUAAUUGUGGCAAAAAAGAAUAUUAGCUUAGUUAUUAGUUUAAUUAUAAACGAUUUAAUAAUGUAGGCCCUCUGACAUCACCAAAAUAGCUGUGACUUGGAAAUUCACUCAUUUAAAAUAUUUCCCUGGCAGUUUUGAGAGCCUGAAACCUACUGUGGUUUAUGUUCAUGGACCUCUGUCCAGUAAGUGAAUGUAAUGAACUGAAUAACAAAUACUCCAGUCCUUUCCAAGUAGUUUUUAUAGUAUAGCAACAGACGGUGGUUAAACACUGAGUACGUUUUUUUUUAAAUGACAAAUGAGGAAAGUGUCUCCCUUGCUUCCCUGUUUCUUAAAGAUUUCAUUAAUAACUGGAGGAAAAUCUUCAGUGGUGACUUAGGAGAAAGAACUAAGGAGAUCCCGCUGCCUGCCCUGCCUCCACCCAGCAAUUAGAUUUCUAGAGCCCUAUACACCAGGGACAUUAACAGCAGUUAAAGCUGAAAACAACCUGCUCUGUGAAUGGUCUUCCCCUAAUUCCCAUUCAACUUAUGCCGGUGCCUCCUGAGAGAGGGUGGGGGCUCUCCCUGAACCAACCAGAAUGAGAAAUGUUCUGUGUUUUCAAACUCAUACUCUCUACAGUCUGACGCCAUGCUGUCUAGUGACCACAGACUUCUCAGUGUUAUUAGGAGUCCUGGAAAGGGGAUGGGUGGUAAAUGAAUAACAACUGCAGAGCCAGAAACUACUGCUGAGGUGGGUUUCAAUAUUGAUGUGUUCCUCUCUAGCCCUUAUUUACAGAGCACUGAGCUAGUAUUUAUAUAAGAAUGAGUCCCUUCCUUUGUUAAUAGCAUCUUCCUGAAAGACUGUUUUAAGUCAAGAAUUCCAGUUAAGUUGGUUGUAAGAAUAGAUAUCCUUUCCCACAUUAUCAUUUUAGGUAGGAGCUAACAGAUUCCAUUGAUGCUUUGAAGCAGCAAUCUUUGGAGGUUUUUAAAAAUAGUACUAUAAUGCAAAUUAGGUUAUGUAAGCUUUACAGCGCAGCUAGAGAUAGAGAAUAGAAACCAUGUGGAAAUCUGGGCCAAAGAAUUUCUCUCUCUCCAGCACAUUCCCAUGGGGCUCAGGAAUUAGAUGAAUUAAUACACAUAAAGUGUUUUGAACAGUACCUGGUGCAUAGUAAGUACUCAGUAAAUGUCGACUGUUCUUACCGUGGUUGGCUGAGGUGAGGAUGAAUGUGAAGAGGGCAAGGCUGUGUGUGCCAACAGCUGUUUGAGAGGCAGGUGCAGUCGGCUCAGGGUGGAGCUGUGUCGGUUCCUUGGUGCUGAUAGGUGUUGGCUGCUGCCAGGCUUUGGGAGAGGACUCCGGGUAUCUAGGAGUUAGACAAAAGACAGCCCCCAAAGACCUGGUGAGAGCUAGUGUGGUGAGGUUGCAGCAGAUCCAAGCUUAAGGAAAUCGCUCAUGUGUCUGUUACAGUCAUUAAAUUACCAGCCGAUCUGCUGCCAAGGGUUUGUAAAUACUUGUUUUUUUGUGGGGGAUUAAAGGGUGCAAGGGCUGAUCAUAGAAUAUUCACCUGCUGAGUCCAAGUGUCCACCCAGUGCAGUAAAUUUAAAGAAAGGUGUUUCGUUACAGCUGUCUCCGGAAUCUAACCUUGGGGACUUACCGGUGUUUAGUAGUUAGAAAGCAAGUUCCUAUAAAGCACAGAAAGGAAGGGAGGAAACUGAUUGGUGUGCUUAAAAGGCUGUGGACCAGGAUGCUUCUCUGAAAAGCACUCCUACAGCUUGUCCCUUCCAGUUUGCUUUGAUACUUUUGGGGGAAAAAAAUCUACGUUCGUCACCAUACAAGGCCUCCCUUCUGCCUGUUAAUCUCAGAGAAAACAUGUCUGCCCAUCUAUUCAUCUUUGUCUUUGUCUGUCCAUUUACUUAUCCAUCUAUCUGGACACAGUUGGGAAGCUGCUUUUCGAUAAGAGGAAAAUUGGUACAUGAUGAAACUGAUGCUGUUGCAUUAAAUAGAGUGUACAUCUUCCAUUCCUUGUGUGUCUACAAAGAUCAGGAGCCUCUGCAGGUGGGCAGAUGCAUCCUUGGCUGUUGGUAAGAGGUGAGCUAAGUGGCAAACAUAGAUUGAGCCCUCAGAUGCUCUAAGUUUAUCAAAACUGUGCGUAGUCAAGGACUGUGUUACCUUUAAGGAGGCAAAGAAGAUUUGCAUUGUAGUCAAGACGUUUUUCUUAAAUCUAAGAAAUAUUUGUAUAGCUAAUGCCCUGGCAAAAGUUAGUGCGUUCCUCCCAGAGGAGGCUGUUAGGUGGAAUCUUUGCCUCAUUCAGCGAGCAUUGAGGGAGGACUUCUUUUUUUUUUGCUUUGAUGGAUCAGUUGUUAACAUUCGAAUUACUCAUUCUGAGGAGCGUCUUGGUCUGUCUUGGCAGAACUUUGUCGUUUCUUCAAAUGAACUGUGCCAUCCUGCUGGUGGGCAGGGUGAAGAUAGCUGCCAUUUGCCCAGGCAGUUUCAGCCCUGGACAAAAGGUCUCUCCAUUCAAGUGUCAGCUAAAUGCACCAAGUAAUGAGGUGAAUAGUAGCCUUCAGUUUAGGUCAUUUGGGGCAGCAGUAGAUUGAAGCAGCAGGAAGGGCAGGGGAAGGAGAGAGAGCAGCGUUUGUGUCUUGUUUGCCAGGCACUUGGGCAUCCUCUGAAUUCUCCAACUACUUUCUUGGAAGUAGUAGUAACCCUAUUUUACCAAAGAAACUGAUGCUCCAAGUUAAGUGCUAGAAACGUUAAUGGAACUUAGCUCUGUUCUAAAGCCUUUUUCUGUUCCAUCAUGCUAUGGAUUAAAAGGCUGGGGCUGACAGGAUGGGCUCUGCUGGAAGCCAAGCCCUCUGACUUGAGAUGACUCCAAAACAGAUAACCUGGCCUAAAAAGGAUAUUUUCAUUUAAACCGAUUGUGAAGAAGUAUUUAACAUACUGGAAAGACAGACUGAACAACUGCAUUGCAUCUGUAUAAACAGAGGAAGCAUUUUUAUUUAAAGUUUAUUUUUCUCUGAAUUUCAGUGAAAUCCUGAGGUUAUGUUUUUUCACUUAGCUUAUCUUUUCUGAGUGCUUGUCUGUGCCUGGCCUGAGAUAGGUUAUGAGGAUGUCUUCAACGAUUUAAGCCAGACUCUGAAGGCAGGCAGGUGAGGCUUUGGCUCACUGGGUACAAGGAAGAGGAGCAUAGAGGGGCAGCAGCCCAGGCUUGGGAUUUAAGUGCAAGAAGGUGUCCCUGGCCAAGUACUCAGCAGAGACAGGGCAGUGGCAGACUGCAGAGGUCGGCUGUCAUGGCCACGAGUUCCCCUUGGAGUAGGCCUCAGGGCAGGCUGCCAGCCUGAAGUUCAUUGUCUUCCUUCUAAGUUGGACCCGUGUACGGUAAGCCCUGCUUGGAUGGCUUUGGGGUCUGUAAUUGCUGCCUGUGAACCACUCUGCUGAACUUGUCUGAAAAUUCUGCUGCUGUAAACCACUUUACCAGCUCCUUGGCUAAUGAAUGACAGCUGGGUCUCUGCUUAGGUGUGGGUGGGGGUGUGGGGGGGUGGUGUGGGGAUGGCUGCAGGAUCCUUUUAGGGAAAGGUAUUCCUCACCCACCAUAGGUCAUUAUCUUUCUUGGCAGUUGGCAUUGUUUGUGCACCCUGCUGUAAUCCUGGAAGGGAGUGGGAGAAAGGAACCUUUGAAAACUGAGGUUGUCGUGUUCUAGAGCAUGACUGUGUCGGGGAGAAUGAGCGCCUGGCAUUCGUAGAACACAGUACUCUCUCAGGUCCUUUCCCACUUGUCAUUUCAUGCCUUGCUCUACUGGUGGGUCUUGGAGAAGCAGCGGUGCACAGACUGUUUUUCCCACUCUGCAGACAGGGAGACUGGAGCCCAGAGAUCUCUCCAAACCACCCUGCUGGUUUGUGGCAAAACAUUGUGGCUCCUAAUUAGUUUUUAACCACAAGAAGAAAUAACAUUUCUUAGACUGUUUUUAAGAGUUAACAGUAGCCCUUUCUGAGGAAUUAGUUUUGAGUUUCACCACAACUGUAGAAUUAGAAAUUUUCUCCUUUUACAGAUUAGGAAAUAGAUGCUUAAAGUGACUUGCCCCAAAUUAUAGCACUGUAAGUGGCAGCGCUCACGCAGGCUGAGGCUGUGCUCUGUGCAGGUGGUUUGUGUCGCUAGUGCCGGCCAAUGUCUGCUCUCUUUUCCAAGCCCAGGUGGCAGCAGUGGCUUCUCCUCUCUGUCACGUGUUCUACCCACCUUUCCUCCAGGAUUCUGGGCUAUUCCCUGUGUGCCUUGAAACCAAACAAGCAAAAACCAGCUCACAUCUCCCUGAUCCUUCCCCAGCCCUCCAAAACUCAGACUUUCUGGGCUCAUUCUUUUUCUGGUUCCUUUGUUAUGUGCUCCUGGGUAAGGUGACCAACUGGUUAGUUCUAGGACACGCAGCCUGUUUUUUUGUUUUGUUUUGUAUUUUUUUGCCAGCUAAACAGUUGUGGUCAGUCUCCACAGAUGAUCAUUUUAUACUGAAAUUGAACCCUAUAAUAAAGUGCAAAUUCAGUGAUCACCAUUUGGAGAGCUCCUCAGGGGUGGGAAGGAGGAUGGGGGAUGUGCUGCUGGAGUGUGUGUUUUAUGUUCAGCCUCAUCCACGUUUUGGUUUUGGCCAUCCUCCGUUCCUGGCUAGGCCUUCAAACAUGUGCUCUAACCCACGGGAUCACCGUCACAGUAGCACGUUUUCCAGAGCAAUCUGGUGUUGGGAUCUCCUAGGAUGCUUCUGUCAUGUAGGUGGUCUUGGAAGCUACUCAGCUUUCUAAAAUCCUUCAUUCCUGCAGAGGCUAUGUUAAAUGAAUAUGGUAGGCAUCAUCUGGGAGGUAAAAAACCUGUGGAAAUGGGCACCUGGGGAACUCAGGAAAGCUGAAAGCACCUUGAAAUGAGAUGGACCAGAAGGUUGAGGCUGGUGAAGAGGAGACCUGGAGAGAACACGGGCACUCCUGUCAGGUAUUUUUAAGAGAUUAUAUUUGUUGUAUGUGGUUCCAAAGAGUAAAAGACAAUUAUGGGACGACAGUUGGGCAAUCUGAGCUAAAAUACACCUCCUGCAAUGACAGAGCAAGUGGCCGUGGGAGAGCAGCUGAGGUGUGAUGGGAGCUCCCUGUUAUGGGCAUGUUCAAGCACGAAGCCAGCUGUGUGGAUGGCGAAGGGGAAUUUCUUCUGUGGAAUGUCAGUUUGGAUGAACUCUGAUGUGGUUGGUGGCACUGCCAAGACCAUGUCUCCCUUCUUGGGCACAUAGAUUUAUUGAGAAAACAUUCACUGUCACCUACUGCUUUCUACCAGGCUCUGUGUUGGGGGAGAAGGAGCAGUUGGAGAAAAUGUCAAAAUUUGCAGCUUAGACGACUGAGUAGAAAGUGAAAUCAUUGACCCAGAUGGAGAGUACAGGGAGGGGGAGAAAGAUGCUCAGGGGAUUUGGACAGAAUGAGAGUCCUCCUCUGUGCAGGGAGAAAGGCUUCAGCGGGUCUCCUCCUCCCUGCUAGGGAUGCUCCUUACUGGCUCUAGGCUAGGGGCUGGCAGGCCCAUUCCCAGGUCUCCCACUGAGUGCAGGAGAGGAGCCAGGCCUCAGAACAGAAGUGCUUAUUGAGUAACUUACCAAGAAUUACAGGCUUCCCAUUGAGACAGACGGGGGUGCCCAGGAGGGGAGUCAGGAGAGGCCUGGCGUGCACAGAGAGAGUGUGCCCACUUGGAGAGCAUGAAGGGCCUUGCUGUGGAAACUGAAAUGGUUAGCAGAGUGAAGUGGCAGGUGGGACACAACAAUCUGCAGCCAUUUCUUGGAAGGCCCUGGGUGCUAUGUCCUUGAGUGAUUACCGUCGUCCAUGACGGUGAGAGUUCGGAGGGCCGAUUGGGACAGUUGGAGAGCUAAGGACCAGAGUCAGGAGCACUGAUGAGGAAGAUGCUGUUGCCAUCAGCCAGGUGAGGCUUGAGGGAGGCUGAUGGAUUGUGGCAGCAGAGGGAUGGUGAGGCAGGAAUGGCGUCUCCUCACAGGCCGGGUUCCUCGGCCAGACUGGGUAGGGACAGGAAGAUGGUGGCCCCCAACCCUGGGCCAAGGAACAACAGCGCCCAUCCGGGGGAGGGGGACCUGCUGGAGUACUUCUCCUGGACCACUGCUCAGUGGGCAAUGGAGAGAACAAUUGGGUCUCUGACCAGGAUGGGGAAGCACAGGGGAAUAGAGAAGAUACUGGCAGGGCACAGAGGAGGUGGAACGGAGCGAGGGCCAUCUCCACCUGGCUAGGAAACGGGGGCUUUGUAGGCCACACUCCAUUGUGCUGGAGAGCUCGAGCGUCUCCGUUGUCAGUGGGUGGGGAGGGACUUGUAACCUGUCAGCAUCUUCAUCCUUUCCCUGAAUUUCCACCGGGCUGGGCUCUCCAGCCAGGAGUCACAGGUACCGGGUGGUCGUUCAUGCUGAGGCCUUCUGCUUGGCAAAAAGUUAAUCCAUUUUUAACCUAAGCAAGGGUUGGAGCUUGUUGGAUUCAGCAUCUGUGGAACACAGUCUUCAGCCUGUGUGAAGGUGGCGGACAUUCCUUCCAAAGUUCUUUAAGGGAGGGAAAAGGCCAUGAAAUUGUGAGAUGAUUGGAGGAUUUGUUUUGUGUCUGUCCCAGUGUUGCCACCUUUGCUUCGAAAUGAACGGGGAGAACUGAAGGCCAGUGUGGGUUUCUGCACCUCUUUUCUACAGUGCUGCUGGGGACUGUGGCUCAGGUGGCAGCUGUGGACACGGAUCCAGUCAGCCUUUGGGUGGCCAGAACUCCAGGGCCAGGUGUCUCUUAGCUGCAAGCAGCCUUGACUGUUACUCAACAGGCCACACAAAUCUCACCUCUAAAGAGGUGAAAGGUAAAAAUAUAUGGGAAUUUAAAUAUAAAGGACUUGUGUCUGCAAGUCCUUUCUGUAAAGGGCCAGAUAGUAAGCAUUUCAGGCUUUAUGGAGCAUGUGGUCUCUGCUGCAACUGCUUAGCUCUGCCAUUGUAGCACAAAAGCAGUCAGAGGCAGUGUGUGAAUAGAUAGCAUGGCUGCGUUCUGAUAGAGCUUCACUUCCACAUACACAGGGCCGCAGCUUGCCAACCCCUGCAAAGUAAGCGGCAUUUUGCCGAAGCUGGCUGUAUUUCGCCAACCCCUUAGAGAUGACUUGCCUUUUGGCUUAAUCAUGAUCCACCUCCCCACAGAGGCUUCCUGAGCAUCUCUUCUGUGUGAGCACUGGCUCAAUGCACAGGACGAUGUAGUUCCUGCCCAUAUGAAACUUGGGAUUUGAGUGACACGUGGGACACUGAAAGAGGAGAGCAGGUGGCUAAAGAGCAUAAUACAGAACAGGGCUCAGGGAAGUCCAAGGUGACAGGGUCUUCAAGAGAAGGGCUGAGGUGAGUCAGGAAAGCCCUGAAGGCAGGCAGCUCUGGAGCAGGGUCUUAGAAGAAGAGUAGGCUGCAUUCUCCAGGAAGGGAAACAGGACCAGGCAAUGGGUGAGAUUGUGUCCGACAAUGAGAACUUCUGCAUAGUCACACAGGCACAUGGGGUCCGCUCGUAAAGGGCCAGGAGGGUGGACUGGAUUCUCUGGGCAGUAAGGAGCCAUCAGACAGUUGUGCUCAGGAGGGUAAUGUGAUCACAAAUGCUGAUUAGAAAUGUCACUGGCUAUGGAGGACCAUGUCUGUGGUUAUAAAUUAUACUUUCAGUUUAGUCUGGACUUUUUGGUCAAGGUACUUUUGGUACUGGAAUGAGAAAGAGAGACCCAGAGUUGGGCAGAUUUUCUGACCACUGGCUUAUAUUGGGGCAGUGAGCGCCCCAUCUUUAUUUUGACCUGACAGAGCUUGACAGAAUCUUCCUUCUUCAGGCUUUUUCUCUCCUGCUAUCCUAAAGAUCACUUGCAAGGGCAGGAUAAAUGAAACAUUCUGUCUCCAAAGUUUGGCUUGGGGCCUCCUCAGCAAUAUGAAGGUAAAGGGGCGAGGACAGGCUGCCCCUUGCUUCCAAAUCAAGUCACGUGGUGGGAACGCUUUAUGGAACUGAUUGCUUCCUUUGUACAUGCCCUUGGGCCCUUCGCCAGCAGGCCUCAGAGAAGCAGAGAUGCUGGCCUCUCCUCUCCAGAGGCUGCCAGCUACUAAGGGAGGGUGAAACGACUACUGCUGGGGGUAGACUGCUCUGGGCUGGGCCUGACGUCAGGUGUAGGGAGACAGGUGAAUCAGACAUGGUGGCUGCACUGAGGAAUGCUCAGUGUUUAUAGCGCUGUCUGCUCUCCAGUCUUUCCUCUCAGAGGGGUUUCCAGGCACGUCGAAGGGAGCUUCCAUUCAUUCAGAGCGUUGGAGAGGUGUCAGGGAUGUGAGCUGCUGCCAGUUUGACGCGAACAAAAGCUGGGAGUGGCUACUGUUGCUGUGCGGUGGCAGCAGCACUGUGUGCGCGCGCGGUGAAGGGGCGGGUAGGGCUGGAGAAGCAGGGCCCAAUACAAGUGCCUCUGCAGCAGCCCCAUGGGGUAGGUGAUCAGUGCAGCUCAGAGAAGGGAAGGUCCUUGUCCCACCUGCCUGAGCUGGUAGGUGGUGGCCCGCUUCACACAGCUGUCCCAUGAUGCUGACGAGGCGGGAGCAGGCCUGGGCCGGCAUCUCUGCACUGUGACCCCCCUUUCACAGGCCCAACCGUGUUUGUGGACCUCUGGGACUGAGUCAGGAGGUGAGGACCGCAGUGCUGCCCUAGCACAGUCGGGCCAGGUGUGGGGAAAGGCAGGAGGGAGGUGUGCUGUGCUGGAAGGCCCUGGAGAGGCAGGAAGCCACUGAAAACUUAAGGAACUGGGUGCUACUUACUCUCAAUGAAGUUGUGUUCUGUUUGUCUCUGAGAAUCAGGUGAGGGAUACAGGAGGAGGAGUUGCCCCAGGUGGCUGCUGUCUUUAAACUUGUCAGGCUCCCUCUCGUAUGGAAGUGCCUCUCGGGAUUUUGCUGCCUGAUUCUCUCUUAUGGGCAUAGAGUGCUCUCAGGCUCUGAUGGUAGGUGUGGAAUUUCUCAGGUCUAAGGAGCACCCCUUGUAUUUUCUAGAGGAGUUUCUGGGUUUUUGGAAGGGAAAGUGACUAACUGGAGCCUGGCACAGAUGGACAUCGGGUAAAGAGAAUGCAGCUAUCCCUGGCUGCGGUGCCAGGCGUGGCCUUUCAUGUGGCAGCCAGUCAUGGGCAGUGGCUGCAGCCUCAUAGGAAGGCUCUUGUCAGUCAGGCAGUGGAGUUAGUUACAGAUAAGAGCCUUGCCAGAGCCAGCCCUGCCCCCACCUAUGGGCACAGGCGCUUUGCCGUCUGUGCUUAGGGAAACAUGAUGGUCCGAAAGUUUUCUUGACUCUAACGUAAAUAUUUCUGCUGUUUUUGCAAGUCAGAUUAUUUUAAUUGUUCAUGGAUAUGGAUCAAGAAUAGGAGUUUAAGAUAGCUAGGGAGGUAGUAAGAAGUUCCUUUUCCACCCAUAAUUUACAAGUUGUGUUUUAGGUUUCCAGUCUGUUUCCUCUGUUCUGGGUAGCUCCUGCUCUCCACCCUUUAGGAAUUUUGGUGUGGUGGGUCAGUGGCAAGACACCCAAUCCAGACAUGUGCAUUUCCAAGGCACAAUGAUGUCACUUACCAAGCCUUCUGGUGUGCAAACACCACUUCACUGGCUCCCUCAGGCUGCACCCCUGACCCCCAAGGUAGUGAUGGCAGCCAGUGCAUGAGGUAUAAUUUGGAAGUAACCAGGCAAGGCCUGGUUGCAAAAAUACCUCUUCUCUCCCGACAGUAGGCCAGAGGUGCUGCCGUUAGACGCACCCCUCUCCCUAUCCCAAUCACUUUUCAUGCUCAGGCCAGCUUUGCAGUCAGGUUCCGUUCACUCUGCACCCCCAUUUCUUAGAUGGGGUACUGAGCACUGCUUUUCCCUUAGCUCACUUAAUAUGGCAGCUUCUCAGGGAUGGGACUUACCACGGCUGUGGGAGAUGCUUUGCUACUAUUUAGUACCUUUUCUGGGGAGGAGGGCUCAUUUUUAGAAACUCCACCGGGGAGCCAAAUUGUAGGCAUCCGACCAGAGGACCUUGCUCUCUCCUCCCAGGAAUCAAAAGUAGCUCUGGCUCUCUGGGAAGCUGUCUCCAGCCUCCAGGUGGACACCCUUUCCAGCAUACCAGGGCUUAUGGAGGCAAAAUGAAAGCUGGUCCACAUGGGAACUCCCUGCUCUUGUCCUUUCCUUGGGCAGACAGUGUAUACUUUAGUCCUUAGCAGUGUUUAUCCUUUUUCCACAAAGCAUCUUUGGACUCAGGCCUUUCACCCUGGACCAUCUGUCUGGCCUGUUGUGCUGAACCUUUGGUCUCUCUCAGUGGCUGGUUGGUCCCAGCCACUUCUUCAAAAGGUUUCCUGAGGUAACCAUAAAUUAGGGCAGUCGUACUUGCAGAACAGUGAGGCUGAUGGGCCUGUUCCCAAGGGUGCUUUGGCAGGGGGUGCUGGGAAGGGGCUGGCCUAGGGUCAGGUUCAUCAUACCAUUAGCCCUACAGCCCCAUGCCUUUGUGUCCUGGCUUACCUGCCUUGUAGUGGUCCUACAGGAGUGGAGCCUGUAGGACUUGCUUCUUGGACGCUCCAAGGAGAGCUCUGUCUGGGAAGGAGGUGGGAGGUGCAGCCAGUCUGGACCUGAAGCCCUCACGCUGUGGAGUAAGGUAGCCCUGCUCAGCCCAGUCCUUCCUUAGCCCCAAGGGUUGGGGGAGGCAGGAGAAGGCUGAGCAGAGUCAUGGAUAGAAAACCUUUCCCUACUGCACGGUUACACACAUGACAUUGGACUCCUGGCUGUAGCUCACUCUGGUCUAGUGAAGACCAAGUUAGUUUUUAGAAAUCUAAAAUAUCUAUCAUGUAUCUAUUUACUGUGUUUUUCUGAAUACUCUAGUGUAAAUAGUAUAAUUUGCAGUGCAAAAGUCCUUGGCAAUAACUUUGUGUAUCAUGUUUAAAAACACUGGAAACCGUGACUACCAUGGACUGUUCUUCCCCUCUGAGGCAAUUAUUACAUGUAGGACUCUGAACUUUAAACCUUCAGCGUGACUGAAGCAGCAGCCUGCACAUGUGGAUGGUCAUCAGUGCCUCGCCCAGAAAUGCCUGGCCUUCAUCCAAAGGGACCCUGCUGCCACGAGUCCUCCAGGCAGCACCCACACUGUGGCUCCUUCGCACUGAGUAUGUUGGACUCUGCCAUAGACUGACCCUCUUGUCUGGCUGCUGCAGUUUGUGUGUAAUGCCCUGACAUGUUGCAUUUUCCCCAUUUGGAUAAAUAAAAACAAAUGCUUCUGUCACACACAGUAAUGGACUGUUCUCUAUAGGACACACUCUGGUAAAAUGAAGGAUCCAGCUUUGGUGAAAGGCUCAAGUGCAGGCUCCCUUUUCCUGGCCCUUAAGGCUCUAGUUCAGUGCAAAGGGAUGAAGGGCUGAGGAUGCCUGAAGUGGGGGUGGAUGGCUCCUGAUAGUGGACAGUGAUUUGGGUGGGGGCAGGGCCUAAUUCUUGAUCCUGUUGUGGUCCUUAAAAUCCUGCUUCUCUGUGGUGUGAAAAGUUUCCUCAAUAUGAAACAUGAACCUGGCAACCUGGCACAGUGAGUGGUAAGUUAUGUCCUAUUGAGUGACUGCUCUCCUUGCUCUUCAUCGUCACACCUAUUCCGGGGGUGGCAGCACCCAGACAAUACAGAUCCAGGAACAGAGCCUCAGGGUUAAGGGGCCCUGCCCAAGGGUGUUGAACUUCUAGAGGGCGGCAGCCAUUGGAAGCCAAAGAUGAGGCUCUUCCUCCUGCUGCCUGGUCCCCUGCAGUUAAGCUUCCCUAGGAACUGAGAGCUCAAGACCAGUGUACUGCCAGCCCACUUGGAGAGAUGAGGACAAAGGUCUGGCAGCCCAGGGAAGUGGUCCGGCAGGGUAUCAGGCCAGAGGCUGCUGCUGCUGCCGUCUCCAGGUAAGUGGAGAGCUGUGUGGGCAAUGGCGCUGUUUUUGCCUCACUUUACAACACAGGGCUCCGCCUUCUCCCUGUGUAUCAUCAGGCCGAAUCUACAACCAAGAAUUGACUGAAGAGCUGGCUGGGCCAGCCCUCUGCUGUUCCCAACCUCAUUCCCAGGCUUGCCUUUCUGAGCUUGAGGGACAGCCAGGCUUUCUUGUUUACAAUUGCCGCAGGGCUCAGCUGCACAGGAGACAGACAGGUUGUUGAGGUGGAACUGGGGAGAGCAAGGGAGGGAACACUGCUUUUCUUGCCCUUGGGCCCUGGAGGAGAAGGUGAAGGUAUGUGGUAGGAAAAACGAACUCCUCGACAGUGUGGUCAGGUCAGGCCUUUCACUUUCAAAUCUGGGAAUAACAUCACUUAACUCGGGGGUGUUCUGACAAUUGGAGGGAGAAGAACACAGGAGAAGAGUGGAGAGCUCAACAGCCUUGGUGAGCCAGGCACUGGACCCACUGCACAGAUCAGGAGAACUCAGGAAGGUUAAGUGAGAUAGAUGCGCGCCCAAGCGCAUGGCCUGGCCUGGCCUUGCACCCUGAAUGUGUGUGUGUUGCUUGCAGUACAGUGCUGUGACAGUUCAAACCCACCUGCUGCUUCCCAUGCUCAUCUUUAAGCAGCCACCCUGCUGGCUACUGACAGAAGUACCAGUCAGCAUCCCAGCCGUCUCUCCGAGCCCAUGUAUCUUCACCUACCAAAUCUUUUAUCAAAUGGGGAGGGCAGAGAACUCAGCACGCAUGUCUGUUGUUCUGGGAGUAGCUCAGUGCCCCUUCUGGGCGGCUCCAGUCCUCAUGUCUGUCUGCUCCAGCUCUGUUUUUUCAUCACCCCCCAAAUGAAUCUUAGAUGUGCAUUUAAAUCCCAGUGUCAGAGGAGUCUGGCACGUCUCUGACCAGUGAAGUGGCUCUCCCAGGCCACAAGGGGCCCAAGUCACCCACUGCACUUCCCUUGUGCAGGCUAUGGUUUUCACAACAACUGUUGAGUCAGCUCAGACCUGGGAGUUGUGUUCUGGGCUUAUUCAGGGAGCCUGUGGCUCUUCUUCACUCCUCUUACUACUCAGCCCCUGCCCCUGGGACUUUCUUCAGAAGAGGUGCAGAGACUUUGGGGCUGACAGCUCUUGCCAUUUGGUCUGAGCCACCGCCUCCCCACUGAGAAUUACCAAGGCCCUGGAAAUCAGCUUGGGUUGCAGCCAAGGCCUCCCAAAGAAGGUCCACCCAGCCUGCGGUGCACGCUCGCAGACCUUGUGAGCAGCCCUGAGGGCACCGUCAGGGAAAACAGGUGCCCAAGGUUGGAACCACAGUCCCAGUGGCCCAGCACAACUGCUCUUCCUGCCACAGUCCCCUCCGACCACUGGCCUUGCUUGCCCACUUCCCUCACAGCCAGGCUUCUUAAAAUCUCUCUACUUGCUUGUCCCUGCCUCUUGCCCUUCCGUACUCUAUUAUAGUGGUCACUGUCCUAACAACCUUCCAGCUUCCAAAUCCAAUGAAGCUUUUCCAGUCCUGCCCUCAUCCCCACCCUGAGGGGGAGCUAUUGCUCCUCUCUAGCUGUUUGUGCUCCUCCAUUCUCCAUGUCUUCUCUACUGCUCCUUGAAUGGCGGCUCCUAGUCCUCCAUCUAGCCCUUGCUUAAUCUUUGCAUUAUCUAGCUUCGGCUUGCUUGAGCAAUGGUUCUCAACCAAGGAUGAUUUUGCCCCCUCAAGGGGCAAGAAAUAACUAAAGACAUUUUUGGUUGUGCCAGCUGGAGUGGGUUAUGUGCACUAGCACCCAGUGGGUAAAGGCCAGGGAUGCUGCUGGCAUCACACAGGACAGACCCCCCCCAGCACAGAAGUUAUCAACCAGCCAAACCAUCAACAAUGUUGAGUUCCACACACCCUGCGCUAGAGAUGCCAAACCAACAAGUGAGCAGCUGUAGAUUGCCAGUGUCUCCAACCUGCAAGUCCCAGGCUAUUUCAAAUCUAUACACGGACAGCUAAAUUUAUCCUCCUGGUGUGUGUCCUCACUCACCAAAUUUCACUGACGGUGUUCUCCAUUCCUUAUUCUACCAUCUGUCAAUCACCUCUGCUCAUACCCUAAUUUCUUCUCCUCCUGAUUUUUCUUCCUAAACGAUCAGCAGGCAACUGCUCAAAGUGCAAGUUGGUUUAACCCAUUUAUGCCUAGUGUUCCAUUAUUGCAACACUAAGCUUGAGGGAGUUAUUUAUAUCCUACUGCUCAAAGUCAUCCCCAAAGUCUGAUUCUUCACACACAAAAAAUUUGCAACCUCUGGCAUAAAUGGGUUUUAAAACUCUCCAGUGACAACUAACUCCCUGGCAUGGCCCCAACCUAAUUACCCAGUUUCAUGUCAUCACUCCGCCUCAAGCAGACUUAACUACUGUCCUUCCCACCUCAAUGCUGUCCUCUUUCUUCUCUUCUACCUAGCAAGUCCUUUAGUUGUCAGUCACAACUGUCACUGCCACUUUGUCCUCCUGCAGUUACACAUACCUUCCCACAGGAUCCCAUACACCUGUACACGACUUACCAUACGGUGUCACUAUUAUUCUAAUUUCAGCCUCAACAUAACUAGGGGACCUCCCCCAAAGCAGGAGCCUCAUCUGAGUCGCUUUAGGCCUGUGUGCCAAGACUAUUAUAUACAUGUGGACUCCUUUUCUUGGGCCAGUACGCAGCUCCAGGGAUGAGGAUUUCUGCUGAGUCCCUACACUACUGAACAUGAAACCAAUGGGACAGGAAAAGCAUGGAGCAGGCAGAUCCGGAAUGUGGAUCCCAGAAAUAAUGUCCUCCAGCCUGCAGCCUAUGAGCAUCAAAGGGACCCCAGCUGGGCUCUGGAGCCACAGUCCUAGUUUCUGCAAGAGUACACGCCAGGGGCUGAGCCCUAUGCUAGGCACUUUCCUAGUUUAAUUGCAGUGGAGAAAAGACAGGGCAGGGGCCCACCUGCUUGUCACAUGGAUAUACACGUGCUGUGGUGGUGGCUUGCUGCAUCCAUCACUCCGCCAUCUACAUUAGGUAUUUAAUCUAUAUCCUAUCCUCUAUCUUCUAUCUAUUUUCUAAUCUAUCAAUCAGCUAUCAAUCAUCUAUCUUCCCUUCUUCUGGCAGGCAUGAAGCUAUAGUCUGCUCAGGCUGCAUCCAUUUAAAGGAUAGGCAUAGGUGGGGUCAUGGACGGCAGGUCAAACGGGAAUGGGGAAUCGUAAGAUUAGGAAAGCAUCGUUCUGCUUUUUGCUAUAGAGAAGGGGGUUGAGGUGGUGAAGAGGGGCAGCAUAAGGCCUGGAGCCUCAUCUGUAUGGUGCAGGGAUGUGGAAGGCCAAGCAAUGAAAAGAAAGAGGCUCUGAAAAGAUAACUCCCAUGUUUUUUCCUAAAGCUUUUAGCAGACCCCAUCUGACCCUCAGGGUGCUCAGCCUGCCUUUCUAUAGCUUUCCCCUGCACAUGUACCUUUUGGCCUGGAAUUUCCUCUUCCAUCUCUGCCUGCUGAGAUGCUUUUGCCUUUGAACGUCUAAUUUGACCCUUACCUCCUGUAAUGCUUCCUUAAACCUCAAAAACACAAAGUAUCUCUCAUCCUUGCUACUACAGCACAAGUUAUUUCUCAGAAAGGAGCAAUGUUCAUCAUGAACAUAGAGGCAUCAAAGUCAUCUUCUCACCCCAUGCGGCUUGUCACACCCUACCAGUCCACACGUCUGAACAGGAGGCUGAGGAGGCCGCCUCACGCUCACACAUACAUACCUCUUUGACAGCACAGAUGGUGGUCUUCUCUGACUCUGCUUCUGUGUGCAGGGGGUGGGGGGAAGAAGAGGAGGCGGCAGGAGCACAUGAGGAUAAAACUGGUUUUUACAAAGCAAUGCUGUUUGUACCAAAAUAUUUAAUGAAUAUACUGUUAAAAUAAAACCAACAAAAGAAAUAGUAAUACAAUUUUACUGGUUUAUAUUUGAAUUCAUAAAGUUGACACACUUAAACUACCCUAGCACAAUGUCCACACACCUAGCAUUAGAUGGGCUUACAGCUAUUUUGGUAACUGAACAAGAAAGACACAGAAAGCAGCAAAGGGGAUGGUUGGUGGGGAGGGUGUUGCCACUUGUUACCUCCCUUAUCACAGAUAACCUCAGCAAGCGUUAGUACAGCCAGUAAGAAAAAGCUACAAAACAACCCGAGUGUCUUUAUAUACAAAACCAGUGCCUCUUGUAAGCAGCCACCUCAACACUGAACGCAGAGAAGAGGACAAAAUCAUCUGCGGUCAGCCUGUCAG
Sapajus apella (tufted capuchin) is the source of this 19493-nucleotide RNA transcript. It is a transcript of the gene named spermatid perinuclear RNA binding protein, with no coding region annotated. The record is from RefSeq and is a predicted model, not a curated record. The transcript is spliced from 18 exons. NCBI's taxonomy places the organism in Eukaryota, Metazoa, Chordata, Mammalia, Primates, Cebidae.